This 772-nucleotide long non-coding RNA is filed under the name Cyanistes caeruleus (blue tit). RNAcentral's name for it is "lncRNA (ENSCCEG00000011779.1)". The stretch from base 347 to 548 matches the Rfam family "Rhabdomyosarcoma 2 associated transcript conserved region 6". The record is from RNAcentral. Lineage: Eukaryota; Metazoa; Chordata; Aves; Passeriformes; Paridae.
CUUACCUGGAAGCUGUAUCUCAUUUCACAAGUUUGUUUUUUUUUUUGUGUAGAUGGUGCAGACCUGUAAACUUUGUUUCAGAGAUAGCAAAAUUAAGUAUAAUACAUAUGCCUUGUAUUUCCACAGGGCCUUGGUCUUUAUCAACUGAGGUAAUGUGCCUGUCAUGCUCCUGAAGUAAUAUUAAGUGGAAAUAACAUCUUACAUCCAAUUUCAAAGAUGCUGUGGUCUUGCUGAGCCCUUGCCGACCCUUGGCAGCGAGGCUGUGCCGAGCAGGAGGAUUGCAGUGAACCUCUUCCCAUGCCCCAAAUGCUGAGUGUGGCAAAACCCUCUGGGAGGGUAACACAGUGGGUGAUUGAUUGUACCCGCCAGCUGGCUAAUAUCAUAAUUAACAAAGUUGCUACCAUGUCUGAGAAGUUUAAUCGAAAAAAUUGCCGGCAGUAUGAUGCCAUUGUCACAGAGAUCACAAGCGCAGCAGUGUUGACUUUUGUACUGGUGGAGCCGCAGGACUAUGUAGAUGUGCUGAAAAGUCGUUCGCUGGGAUAACUGAAGUGAGAUGUGAUUGCAGACAGCGCGCGGCUGGGCUGUGGUGGAACCGGCCAGUGGCGACCUGCCCUUGCUCUGCUGGCUCCCAGCGGAGCAGCCGUGCCACGGGAUGCAGAAGUUGGGAGCAGCUGCCUGCCAUGAACCUCCACGUGCAGGAAUGCCGGCAGGAGAGCGUGGAAGCGUCAGCGAGGUAAGCACUGCAAAUCACUGCGGUUAUGCUUUAUCUGCU